This 692-nucleotide ribosomal RNA is filed under the name unidentified Beaufort teredenid. Its description in RNAcentral is "partial 18S ribosomal RNA". It matches the Rfam family "Eukaryotic small subunit ribosomal RNA", at positions 46 to 719 of the family's 1831-position model. The record is from RNAcentral. Lineage: Eukaryota; Metazoa; Mollusca; Bivalvia; Myida; Teredinidae.
AAGCCAUGCAUGUCUAAGUACACGCCUUAACACGGCUAAACUGCGAAUGGCUCAUUAAAUCAGUUAUGGUUCCUUARAUCGUACAAUCCUACUUGGAUAACUGUGGCAAUUCUAGAGCUAAUACAUGUCGCACAGCUCCGACCCUUGCGGGGAAKAGCGCUUUUGUUAGCCCAAAACCAACGCGGCGGUCGUUCACGCGGCCGUCGCUCCACUAUGGUGAAUCUGAACAACUUUGUGCCGAUCGCACGGCCUUUGCGCCGGCGACGCAUCUUUCAAGUGUCUGCCCUAUCAACUUUCGAUGGUACGUGCUAUGCCUACCAUGGUGAUAACGGGUWACGGGGAAUCAGGGUUCGAUUCCGGAGARGGAGCAUGANAUACGGCUACCACAUCCAAAGAAGGCANCARGCGCGCAAAUUACCCAAUCCCGACACGGGGAGGUWGUGACGAAAAAUAACAAUACRGGACUCUUUCGARGCCCCGUAAUUGGAAUGAGUACANUUUAAAUCCUUUAACAAAGAUCCAUUGGAAGGCAARUCUGGUGCCAACCAACCGCGGUWAUUCCAYCUCCAMUAACGUAUAUUAAAUUGCUGCAGUUAAAAACUCCUUAUUGGAUCUCCGGUUCAGCUUGUUGUCCGCCUCCSGGCGGUCACUACUCCUUCCUAACCWCMMCCGGUUGUCCGUCCCUGGUGCUC